UACAGAGGUGGCAAGCGUUGUUCGGAAUUACUGGGCGUAAAGGGCGCGUAGGCGGCCCGUCAAGUCCCGUGUGAAAGCCCCCGGCUCAACCGGGGAACGGCGCGGGAAACUAGCAGGCUUGAGUUCGGGAGAGGGAAGCGGAAUUCCGGGUGUAGCGGUGAAAUGCGCAGAUAUCCGGAGGAACACCGGUGGCGAAGGCGGCUUCCUGGACCGACACUGACGCUGAGGCGCGAAGGCGUGGGGAGCGAACGGG
This 253-nucleotide ribosomal RNA is filed under the name uncultured bacterium. RNAcentral's name for it is "partial 16S ribosomal RNA". It matches the Rfam family "Bacterial small subunit ribosomal RNA", at positions 524 to 776 of the family's 1533-position model. The record is from RNAcentral.